AGUCUGCAACUCGAGUGCAUGAAGCUGGAAUCGCCAGUAAUCGCGGAUCAGAAUGCCGCGGUGAAUACGUUCCCGGGUCUUGUACACACCGCCCGUCACACCAUGGGAGUCGGGAAUGCCCGAAGCCGGUGGCCCAAUCGAGAGAAGGGAGCCGUCGAAGGCAGGCCGGAUGACUGGGGUGAAGUCGUAACAAGGUACC
This 199-nucleotide ribosomal RNA is filed under the name uncultured bacterium. RNAcentral describes it as "partial 16S ribosomal RNA". It matches the Rfam family "Bacterial small subunit ribosomal RNA", at positions 1302 to 1500 of the family's 1533-position model. The record is from RNAcentral.